GCCGGGCGUGGUGGUGCACACCUGUGGUCCCAGCUACUCGGGAGGCUGAGGUAGGAGAAUUGCUUGAGCCCAGGAGGCAGAGGUCGCAGUGAGCCAAGAUUGUACCACUGCACUCCAACCUGGGCAACAGAGCAAGACCCUGUCUCAA
Molecule: unclassified non-coding RNA, 148 nt
Organism: Pongo abelii (Sumatran orangutan)
Lineage: Eukaryota; Metazoa; Chordata; Mammalia; Primates; Hominidae
Rfam family: Metazoan signal recognition particle RNA
About the family: The signal recognition particle (SRP) is a universally conserved ribonucleoprotein. It is involved in the co-translational targeting of proteins to membranes. The eukaryotic SRP consists of a 300-nucleotide 7S RNA and six proteins: SRPs 72, 68, 54, 19, 14, and 9.
Source: Ensembl